GGCCGCUUGGCCCAAUGGUUAAGGCGUCUGACUACGACCGAGCGCGGCGUCUGCGGAAAAACGUGCUUGAACGCGGGUAAUCAGGAGAUUCUGGGUUCGACUCCCAGGGUGGCCU
Hypoxylon sp. FL0543 is the source of this 115-nucleotide non-coding RNA. NCBI's taxonomy places the organism in Eukaryota, Fungi, Ascomycota, Sordariomycetes, Xylariales, Hypoxylaceae. The record is from the annotation of a GenBank genome assembly.